AGGGCACCACCAGGAGUGGAGCCUGCGGCUUAAUUUGACUCAACACGGGGAAACUCACCCGGCCCGGACACCGGAAGGAUUGACAGAUUGAUAGCUCUUUCUUGAUUCGGUGGAUGGUGGUGCAUGGCCGUUCUUAGUUGGUGGAGCGAUCUGUCUGGUUAAUUCCGAUAACGAACGAGACUCUAGCCUAUUAAAUAGACGUCGGGUUCUCUGCACUCGACGGUCUUCUUAGAGGGACAAGGUGCUUUUAGCACCGCGAAACAGAGCAAUAACAGGUCUGUGAUGCCCUUAGAUGUCCGGGGCCGCACGCGCGCUACACUGAAGGAAGCAGCGUGUAACAACCUUGUUCUAACGAACUGGGUAACCCGUGGAACUUCCUUCAUGAUUGGGAUAGGGGUUUGCAAUUGGGCCCCUUGAACGAGGAAUUCCCAGUAAACACUAGUCAUCAGCUAGUGCUGAUUACGUCCCUGCCCUUUGUACACACCGCCCGUCGCUACUACCGAUUGAAUGGUUUAGUGA
RNAcentral lists this ribosomal RNA (519 nucleotides) under uncultured eukaryote. RNAcentral describes it as "SSU rRNA". It matches the Rfam family "Eukaryotic small subunit ribosomal RNA", at positions 1161 to 1704 of the family's 1831-position model. The record is from RNAcentral.